RNAcentral lists this ribosomal RNA (465 nucleotides) under Vreelandella stevensii. RNAcentral's name for it is "partial 16S ribosomal RNA". It matches the Rfam family "Bacterial small subunit ribosomal RNA", at positions 338 to 795 of the family's 1533-position model. The record is from RNAcentral. Lineage: Bacteria; Pseudomonadati; Pseudomonadota; Gammaproteobacteria; Oceanospirillales; Halomonadaceae.
CCUACGGGUGGCUGCAGUGGGGAAUAUUGGACAAUGGGCGAAAGCCUGAUCCAGCCAUGCCGCGUGUGUGAAGAAGGCCUUCGGGUUGUAAAGCACUUUCAGUGGGGAAGAAAGCCUUGGGGCUAAUACCCUCGAGGAAGGACAUCACCCACAGAAGAAGCACCGGCUAACUCCGUGCCGGCAGCCGCGGUAAUACGGAGGGUGCGAGCGUUAAUCGGAAUUACUGGGCGUAAAGCGCGCGUAGGCGGUCUGAUAAGCCGGUUGUGAAAGCCCCGGGCUCAACCUGGGAACGGCAUCCGGAACUGUCAGGCUAGAGUGCAGGAGAGGAAGGUAGAAUUCCCGGUGUAGCGGUGAAAUGCGUAGAGAUCGGGAGGAAUACCAGUGGCGAAGGCGGCCUUCUGGACUGACACUGACACUGAGGUGCGAAAGCGUGGGUAGCAAACAGGAUUAGAUACCCGAGUAGUC